CCUAUAUAUGCAUUUUAAUAAAGAUUGUUUAAAAAUUAUCCUAUAAAGGAAGAAGCUUGGAAAAGGGUUUAUUAUGGAACACGCUGAAUAUACAAAGCAGCCAUGAAUACGUAUUUAAAAUGCAAUGAAAAUCUAACAAUGGACUAUGUAAUGCCUUGGAUUGGAUUCAUUCUUUGGCCAAAUGAUGGUUGUGAAUUUAUUAUUUGUGUUAUGGUUGAGCCUAGAAGGACAAACUGAGAUCCGGGCCCUAUUCUGCGAGUUCACUUACAGCCAUCAGAGUCCACUUUGUCCUCUUCUCUGUAGUGUGAGUGUAUUUGGGUACUGCAGCAAGACAUUGCAAGGAUGAGAAACAAUGUCUUUAAUGCUGAAGAUUUCAUCCAUGACAAUUGGGAUUCCUUUUUCCAAUGACUGCAUUUUCACCUUCAAACCCCAAAGGUCAU
This is a long non-coding RNA of Dermochelys coriacea (leatherback sea turtle), 440 nucleotides long. RefSeq lists it as uncharacterized. NCBI's taxonomy places the organism in Eukaryota, Metazoa, Chordata, Testudines, Dermochelyidae. The transcript is spliced from 3 exons. The record is from RefSeq and is a predicted model, not a curated record.